CGAGUACCGCUGUCCACCGCCACC
This 24-nucleotide non-coding RNA is filed under the name Arabidopsis thaliana (thale cress). The record is from RNAcentral. Lineage: Eukaryota; Viridiplantae; Streptophyta; Magnoliopsida; Brassicales; Brassicaceae.